UGAUAAUGCUGGGAUGUGAUGGGGAGCGAAAUUUAGUAGCGAAGUAGCUGAUUUCACACUGUCAAGAAAAGUCUCUAUCGAGGUUAAAGGUACCCGUACCGCAAACCGACACAGGUGGGUGAGGAGAGUAUCCUACGGCCCGCGAGAGAACUGUUGUUAAGGAACUCGGCAAAAUGACCCCGUAACUUAGGGAUAAGGGGUGCCACCAUCCGGUGGCCGCAGAGAAUAGGCCCAAGCGACUGUUUACCAAAAACAUAGGUUUC
This 263-nucleotide ribosomal RNA is filed under the name Clostridioides difficile. RNAcentral describes it as "partial 23S ribosomal RNA". It matches the Rfam family "Bacterial large subunit ribosomal RNA", at positions 1548 to 1823 of the family's 2925-position model. Lineage: Bacteria; Bacillati; Bacillota; Clostridia; Peptostreptococcales; Peptostreptococcaceae. The record is from RNAcentral.